Molecule: ribosomal RNA, 1389 nt
Filed under: metagenome
Description: bacterial LSU rRNA
Rfam family: Bacterial large subunit ribosomal RNA
Source: RNAcentral
CCAGUUUUGCUCCAAGGACCAAUCCAGAACACGAAGUGGUUGAUGCCAUGCUUCCAAGAAAAGCUUCUAAGCUUCAGGUAACCAGGAACCGUACCCCAAACCGACACAGGUGGUUGGGUAGAGAAUACCAAGGCGCUUGAGAGAACUCGGGUGAAGGAACUAGGCAAAAUGGCACCGUAACUUCGGGAGAAGGUGCGCCGGUGAGGGUGAAGCAUUUACUGCGUAAGCCCAUGCCGGUCGAAGAUACCAGGCCGCUGCGACUGUUUAUUAAAAACACAGCACUCUGCAAACACGAAAGUGGACGUAUAGGGUGUGACGCCUGCCCGGUGCCGGAAGGUUAAUUGAUGGGGUUAGCUAACGCGAAGCUCUUGAUCGAAGCCCCGGUAAACGGCGGCCGUAACAAUAACGGUCCUAAGGUAGCGAAAUUCCUUGUCGGGUAAGUUCCGACCUGCACGAAUGGCGUAACGAUGGCGGCGCUGUCUCCACCCGAGACUCAGUGAAAUUGAAAUCGCUGUGAAGAUGCAGUGUAUCCGCGGCUAGACGGAAAGACCCCGUGAACCUUUACUAUAGCUUUGCACUGGACUUUGAAUUUGCUUGUGUAGGAUAGGUGGGAGGCUUUGAAGCGUGGACGCCAGUUCGCGUGGAGCCAACCUUGAAAUACCACCCUGGCAACUUUGAGGUUCUAACUCAGGUCCGUUAUCCGGAUCGAGGACAGUGUAUGGUGGGUAGUUUGACUGGGGCGGUCUCCUCCUAAAGAGUAACGGAGGAGUACGAAGGUGCGCUCAGACCGGUCGGAAAUCGGUCGUAGAGUAUAAAGGCAAAAGCGCGCUUGACUGCGAGACAGACACGUCGAGCAGGUACGAAAGUAGGUCUUAGUGAUCCGGUGGUUCUGUAUGGAAGGGCCAUCGCUCAACGGAUAAAAGGUACUCCGGGGAUAACAGGCUGAUACCGCCCAAGAGUUCAUAUCGACGGCGGUGUUCGGCACCUCGAUGUCGGCUCAUCACAUCCUGGGGCUGAAGCCGGUCCCAAGGGUAUGGCUGUUCGCCAUUUAAAGUGGUACGCGAGCUGGGUUUAGAACGUCGUGAGACAGUUCGGUCCCUAUCUGCCGUGGACGUUUGAGAUUUGAGAGGGGCUGCUCCUAGUACGAGAGGACCGGAGUGGACGAACCUCUGGUGUUCCGGUUGUCACGCCAGUGGCAUUGCCGGGUAGCUAUGUUCGGAAUAGAUAACCGCUGAAAGCAUCUAAGCGGGAAACUAGCCUCAAGAUGAGAUCUCACUGGGACCUUGAGUCCCCUGAAGGGCCGUCGAAGACUACGACGUUGAUAGGUUGGGUGUGUAAGCGCUGUGAGGCGUUGAGCUAACCAAUACUAAUUGCCCGUGAGGCUUGACC